AACAGAUCACAGGGAAUGCAUGAGCUCUGUCUUAGGAUGGAUAUGAGCCAGCUGAGAGAUUACUGGUCAGAAUGACUAAGCAGUUAAACAUGAGUGACCCUGUUACAGAUUCCUGCUAUAGACUGCCUGAUCAGAAUGACGUCUUCAUAGAAGAACUGAUGAAGCAUGAGAGGGGUAAAAGGAUAGCAUGGUGGGCUGAAAAAUGGCGGAAAUGCUAGGCUUAAAGGUUUCAGAAGCAUGAAAUCCAGCCAGAGGCUGGAAAUCAGUGAAAUUAGUUCACUAGCAGCAUAUCCAAGCGGUCAAUAGUAUUAAAUGUCUUUAAUAAGGACCCAGAUAACGUGACAGAGAGCAAUUUUUCAUAUAAUGUGAAAAUGGAAGGAGUGUUUGACACACCUAAUAGUUGUGCUGCCAUUUAGGAGAAAUCUGACAAGCUGGAAAAAGAAGCUAUGAGGAACCUUACUCAUUUCAGAAAAGCAAAGAAGGCCAACCACAACCUGAGCUCUGUUGGGAAGAUCGCUGCCAGCAGGCCAAGGGAGGUAUUGCUCAGGUCUGUUAAAACCGUAUCCGAAUUGCUGCAUCCAAGAUUCCCUACUAAGAGAGACAACUGGACAUACAUGGAAAUUCAGCAAAGGGCAAUUAAGAUGAUUAACAGAUGGCAGUUUCUGUCAAAUGAGGUUCUACAACGUGUUAAACACCUCUAGAAAAAGAAGAGGUCAUUUUCUAGAAGGGAGACAAUGAUAAGAAUGUGGCAAAUGAGAAGAAUGUGGCAAGACACAGAGCUAUGGAGACAAAGAAGCAAAUUUUUGUGUGUGUGUCUCUAAACAGCUAUUCGGUGACAGCUGUUAAAACAGUGCUCCUCCUGUGCAUUGUGAUGUAUCUCCUGCAAGACUUCUCUCCCUUCCUUCAGGAACUGCUCGUUUGCUCUUACUUCUUGAGUGCUUGCAAUACAGUCCUCAUUGUUAAUUCCACAAGACUGAAUAUUAAUUCCUGCUCACUGUUAUGAUUAUUGGGGUUUUUUUCCCUAUUUCUUGAACUGAUGUAUGGAGCCUGCACAUGAUUCUGUGGGCACACAUAAAUCUAAAGAAGUUCAAGGCCUAGUGCUGCAUCUGAGUUGGGGCAUUUAUCAACACAGGCUGGGAUGAACAGAUUGAGUGCAGCACUGCUGAGGAGUUGGGGGUGCUGGUGGGUGAGAGGCUGAACAUUAGUCAGAAACAUGUGUGACCAGCAGGUUGAGGGAGAUGAUUUUCCCCCUCUACUCCUCUCUCAUGGGACCCCACCACUCUUAGUACCAUGUUCAACUCUAGGGUCGUUUGUACAAGGAAGACAUGGACCUGUUGGAGCAGGCCCUGCGUAGGGCCUUCUUCCUAUGAGAAAAGGCUGUGAGAGCUGGGGUUGUUCAGCCCAAGAAGAAGAGAAAGCUCUGGGGAGACUUCACUGGGGCCCUUCAAUACCUAAACAGAGGUAAACACACUUUUUAACAGGCCCUGUAGCAACCAGAAAAGCAGUAACUGUUUUAAAUUGAAAAAAUCAUAGAUUCAGACUAGAUAAGGAAGAAUUAUUCUAUGAUGAGAAUGGUGAAACACUUGAACAGAGAAGUAGUAGAUGCCCUAUCCCCAGUAAGGCUCGGCCAGGCUCUGCACAAUCUGAUCUAGUUGAAGACGUCCCUACCCAAAGUCAGAGGCUUGGACUACUUGACAUUUAAAGAUGCCUUGCAACAGAAACUAUUCUAUGAUCCUAUCACACAAGACUCUGGGGAAAAGAAAGAGGUAAAGUCAAAAACCCCAGCCACUUGGCUCAAUCACUAGGUCCAGUACACCUUCACACCUUCCAUCAAAUAUGCAAUCAGAGUGAAGGGUUCUUUAAUUUUAUUAAAUAUUAACCCAGAUCUCUGAUCCACAUGGACAAGAACAGCCAAUUUUUAUACAAACCUUAGAAUAAGAAUUAACAGGUGACUGUUACAAUGCAAAGGUGGCUGUCACUGGGGACUAAAUAAUUUCUUCAGGAAGACAAUACCUUGGAAAAUUUGAGUUACAGUUCCCGAUUACAUAUAUGAGUAGUGAGGAUUUGUUAGUUGCUAGGAAUACAAAAAUGUAUUUCAUGAAAAAUGAAAGAUUAGUGAACUGGACAAACACUCAGCUGUCAAAGACAGUAGGUGAAAACCAGGAUAAAAAUGUGAUGGGGAAUCCAGCAUCCCAUAAAACUUGAUGGGAAAAAAAAAGUAAAAUAAACAAAGCAAACCAAUUCUACAUCAAAGACAAAAAAAAUUCUCUACGACCUUUUCCUUCUCAACACUAAGGGAUAAUGAAAGACUUGCUCAUUGCAGUGAUUAUAUACACAGCUUGGUUUUUAUUAAUGAUGCAGUUAUGUAAUAAAUGUCUUAAGUAUUCUUUUCUAAUAGUACCUGAAAUUAGUGGUUCUUAGCAGAUAAAAUACAGUGUGACUGGCUACUUCAGCACCAACACACUGAGCACUAACACCCAGUUUUCAAUUUAUCCAAGCAAAGCACUCCCCAGUCACUGCUGCAGGACAAACUGAGCACAGAUUCUGACCAACCUGCUUGUUUCUGCAGGUUUUUCCACUCUUUCC
This is a long non-coding RNA of Parus major (Great Tit), 2586 nucleotides long. RefSeq lists it as uncharacterized. The record is from RefSeq and is a predicted model, not a curated record. Lineage: Eukaryota; Metazoa; Chordata; Aves; Passeriformes; Paridae. The transcript has 3 exons.